Molecule: ribosomal RNA, 293 nt
Filed under: uncultured bacterium
Lineage: Bacteria
Description: partial 16S ribosomal RNA
Rfam family: Bacterial small subunit ribosomal RNA
Source: RNAcentral
UGUGCCUACGGGGCGCAGCAGUGGGGGAUAUUGGACAAUGGGGGGAACCCUGAUCCAGCGACGCCGCGUGAGUGAAGAAGUAUUUCGGUAUGUAAAGCUCUGUCAGCAGGGAAGAAAGCAAUGACGGUACCUGACCAAGAAGCCCCGGCUAACUACGAGCCAGCAGCCGCGGUAAUACGUAGGGGGCCAGCGUUAUCCGGAAUUACUGGGUGUAAAGGGAGCGUAGACGGCUGUGCAAGGCUGGAGUGAAAGGCGGGGGGCAAACCCACGGACUGGUCUGGAAACUGUAUGGC